Molecule: ribosomal RNA, 253 nt
Filed under: uncultured bacterium
Lineage: Bacteria
Description: partial 16S ribosomal RNA
Rfam family: Bacterial small subunit ribosomal RNA
Source: RNAcentral
GACGAACCGUGCGAGCGUUGUUCGGAUUCACUGGGCUUAAAGGGCGCGUAGGCGGGCGUGCGAGUCCGGGGUGAAAUCUUUCGGCUUAACCGGAAAAGGGCCUCGGAUACCGGUCGUCUCGAGGGAGGUAGGGGCAGCUGGAACUUCCGGUGGAGCGGUGAAAUGCGUUGAUAUCGGAAGGAACGCCGGUGGCGAAAGCGAGCUGCUGGACCGCAUCUGACGCUGAGGCGCGAAAGCCAGGGGAGCGAACGGG